Non-coding RNA from Electrophorus electricus (electric eel), 1189 nucleotides. The record is from RefSeq and is a predicted model, not a curated record. NCBI's taxonomy places the organism in Eukaryota, Metazoa, Chordata, Actinopteri, Gymnotiformes, Gymnotidae.
CCCCCCCGAUGCUCCGAAGAGCCCCGGCAGCCCAUGGACUCCAAGCCCGUCUCACUUACUGGAAAUUGCGGCACGACGGCGCGAAGCGGCCACACGGCAGCACGUCUGCAGCGAUAUCCUUCACCGCCUCGAUGUCCCCACACAGGGCACCCACCGCCCCAUUCCUUGCACCGGGACCUGGAGUCCAAUUCCCAGAAUUCUUGGCACGCAGCAGGAGCGUCCCAGCAGCGGCCGACGCGGAAACCGACGCCGGGAAGGAGAGCCCGGGGCCUCUCCGCCCGUCCCCCGAGAGAUCCGUUUAUAUAUUUUGUUGUUUUUGUGUUUUUUAGUCCUUUCCCUCUCGCCAUGUGCCGGCUACGACGCGAUUUCCAUUUACUCGCACUCAGCUUGACACGCGGCGCAGCUCCCCGCGCGUUUCAUUCCCGAGAGAGACGCACGGCGGUUCCGGAGGGUUGACCCGCGACCGCCUGCUGGAAAAGACAACGGCGGAGUUGUUUACUGUAUGCUAAAGCAUGCUGUUCCUUAUUUCUUCUUCCAGCAUGAGGAAUUUUAUGGAGACUUUAGCUACACCGCAGCCCUGCUUGUGAAUUCGGAAAGCUACUGGCCCGGGAAGUGGACAGUGAAAAAAGACACAUACGUAAAAAAAACUUUAUCGAAGGAAUGUUUAUUAAAAGGGAAGACAAAAAACCCUUGACAUUUCACGUGUUUCGUGAUUCAUGUAACGCCGUCCAAUCACAGGAUUUGUGUUUGUCAUGAGGGGUUGUCGGUGUGACAUUCACAUUUCGAAAAAGCUUCCGACCCCGAAAUGUUUUUCUUUAACGUCAUUUUACCCUUCCUCGCAGUUUGGUUUCAACCUACAAAGGACCUAUUUGGAAUAUGCAAAGAAUGCAGGGGUGUCUGAGAGCUAUAGAAUAUACUGUGCCAAGAUUCAUAAUGUAGUUUUAAUCUGGGGAUUCAAACUAACAUUAGUUUUUCCAUUAAUCUAGUCACAUAGAUUAACUGUGUGCUUAUUCCCAUCUAUGUAUACUGCCAUUUAUCUUCUUUCUUGUUUUUUUUUUUUGUCUUUUUUAAAUGAAUUUAGGUACACGAAACAUGUCAUUUAUUUAUGGUCUUUUUUUAAUCUAGUUUGUAAAUUGUAAAAUAGAAAUAUAAGGAAAAAUAAAUGAGUGCCAAGUGCGUUGUAGCGAGA